GAUGAACGCUAGCGACAGGCUUAACACAUGCAAGUCGAGGGGCAGCGGGGAUAAAGCUUGCUUUAUCUGCCGGCGACCGGCGCACGGGUGAGUAACACGUAUGCAACCUACCCUAUGCAGGGGAAUAACCACGGGAAACCGUGCCUAAUACCGCGUAACGCACUGAUUGGGCAUCCGAUUGGUGUCAAAGGAGCAAUCCGGCAUAGGAUGGGCAUGCGGCGCAUUAGCUAGUUGGCGGGGUAACGGCCCACCAAGGCGACGAUGCGUAGGGGUUCUGAGAGGAAGGUCCCCCACACUGGUACUGAGACACGGACCAGACUCCUACGGGAGGCAGCAGUGGGGAAUAUUGGGCAAUGGGGGGAAACCCUGACCCAGCAACGCCGCGUGAAGGAGAAGGUCUUCGGAUCGUAAACUUCUUUAAGUGUGGAAGAAAUUGACGGUACACACAGAAUAAGCCACGGCUAACUACGUG
Molecule: ribosomal RNA, 472 nt
Filed under: uncultured bacterium
Lineage: Bacteria
Description: bacterial SSU rRNA
Rfam family: Bacterial small subunit ribosomal RNA
Source: RNAcentral